GCUGCCCGUCACAUCGGUGGGCUGAGAAACCUUCCUUAAAGACCUGUGAUGUUUUGUAAACCCUGACUGUUCUGGUGGUUGCAAAGUUAGUGUCUGUUUAGUGUUCCCCAUCUCACCAGAAGUGUUUCCUUUUUCUCAUUCAUAGAGGUCCUGUAAUAAAGAGGGAUCCGAACAAGCUCAGAAAGAAAAUGAAUUUCAAGGGGCCGAGGCCAUGGUUCUGGAGAGCGUUAUGUUUGCCAUUCUCGCAGAGAGGUCACUUGGGCCAAAACUCUAUGGCAUCUUUCCCCAAGGCCGACUGGAGCAGUUCAUCCCGAGCCGGCGAUUAGAUACUGAAGAAUUAAGUUUGCCAGAUAUUUCUGCAGAAAUCGCCGAGAAAAUGGCUACAUUUCAUGGUAUGAAAAUGCCAUUCAAUAAGGAACCAAAAUGGCUUUUUGGCACAAUGGAAAAG
RNAcentral lists this long non-coding RNA (448 nucleotides) under Pan troglodytes (chimpanzee). Its description in RNAcentral is "long non-coding RNA NONPTRT003115". The record is from RNAcentral. Lineage: Eukaryota; Metazoa; Chordata; Mammalia; Primates; Hominidae.